This is a long non-coding RNA of Papaver somniferum (opium poppy), 1448 nucleotides long. RefSeq lists it as uncharacterized. The record is from RefSeq and is a predicted model, not a curated record. Lineage: Eukaryota; Viridiplantae; Streptophyta; Magnoliopsida; Ranunculales; Papaveraceae. The transcript is spliced from 2 exons.
GAAUUGGUUUCUUCUUCAAUUUGAUUUUCUUAAUAUUUUCUUCAAUUUGUUUAAGAUUUGGAAUUGGUUUCUUCUUCGAUUUGUUUUCAUAGUAUAACAAACCCUUUGAUUUGUUUGGAAUCAUGUAUGUCUGUGAAUCAAAUACCUUAUAUUAUGCAUAUUUAUUUGAUUUUUUAUGUUGCGAAUUGUGAUUCAGCAAAUCUUCACUCUUUUUUUCCUAUUAAUCAUGAAUUUGUAUGAUUUUUAAUGUUGUUCCAUGGUGUUGAUCAUUUGAGGAAUUGUUGUUAUAAUCAAUUGUAUGAUUCGUAUCAGUUCUAUUUGAUUCCUGGAUUCUACCUUCAAUUGUAUGAUUCCAUCUUCACUGCUACUUUAAUUUUCUGUCAUUUCAUUUUCUAGCAAAAGCAAAUAAAUUAUAUGUAGGACCAGAAGUGAAAAUCCAUUUCAACAGGUUCGUUUUUACUGACCGAUGUUGAUGCUGUUGCAAGCGUUCGUGUCAUUCCCAGCUGAACUAGGUUAGCAUUUGUACAUCUAAGUAUCAUUGCAUUGAAAAGCAUAUCAUUUAGAUGUGUUAAUGCUAACCAAAUUUAGGCUAGGAAAACGGUUAUUGGAGCUUCUGCUUAUGUUCUCAUUCUUCAGGUUCAAGCUAAGAUCCUUGCUUUUAAGUUGGUAAAAAGUGACUUUUGCUUCAAAGGUAUGAAGUUCUGAAAUGGCUUACUUGCUUUUAAGUUCUUUGUGUAUUUUGUACCUAAUGUUUCAGGGAUUUCAGAUAUUAGUCAUAAGAUUUGGCUAAAUCAAUGCUAUUUUUUGACCAAAUCCGAAAGUUGUAGCCAGUUCAGAUUGACAGAGUGAUAUGGUUGUAUUUGGUUUACUUCCAUCCAUUUUAUAUAAAACUUGGAGAAUCAAACUACUAAACUGUAUCUUGCUUUAGAUAAUGUUUGAGUUGCUUAUCAAGGAUUUAGGGUAACAUUUGUUAAUUGCAGUUGGAGGAGAACAAUUUGAAUCAAAUAAAACAUUUAUGAAAAUGAAUCGAGGAAAAUAAUACUGGUAACUGUUCCGGCAACAAAUUUUUCGUUCUGUGCUUCGUUUACGAUGCCUUGCUGCGGUGGACUUAUAUGCUUCAACUUUUUUAAGAUCCAUUCACACUACUAUCUACGGAGAUCACCACAAUAUCAUCAAAGGUGUGUUAUCUAUCUGUUUGGGUAUACGUAAGAACUUUUCAAUUGAAAUGAAAUUGGCAUUUUCAAGCUGUAUAAUGCAAUCGGCAUCACCACUUUGAAAAACAAUCAUUUACCAUGCUCCGGCCCUGCAAGAAAUGGACUUGAUAUCUGAAUGAGAGUACUUUUCUUAUAGACCUAUCAUGUAAGCGUAAAAGCUAUUUUCAAUCCUGAUUGUGGCUUUUGUACAAAUUGCUUCUUAAAAAACCAUUAAUGAAAUUUAUUAUUUUACCA